AGAGUUUGAUCAUGGCUCAGGACGAACGCUGGCGGCGUGCUUAACACAUGCAAGUCGAACGAUGAAGCCCUUCGGGGUGGAUUAGUGGCGAACGGGUGAGUAACACGUGGGCAAUCUGCCCUUCACUCUGGGACAAGCCCUGGAAACGGGGUCUAAUACCGGAUAACACUUCCACUCGCAUGGGUGGGGGUUGAAAGCUCCGGCGGUGAAGGAUGAGCCCGCGGCCUAUCAGCUUGUUGGUGAGGUAGAAGCUCACCAAGGCGACGACGGGUAGCCGGCUUGAGAGGGCGACCGGCCACACUGGGACUGAGACACGGCCCAGACUCCUACGGGAGGCAGCAGUGGGGAAUCUUGCGCAAUGCGCGAAAGCGUGACGCAGCAACGCCGCGUGAGGGAAGAAGGCCUUCGGGUUGUAAACCUCUUUCAGGAGGGACGAAGGUUCAGGCGCGAACAGCGUCCUGGAUUGACGGUACCUCCAGAAGAAGCCCCGGCUAACUACGUGCCAGCAGCGGCGGUAAUUC
This 521-nucleotide ribosomal RNA is filed under the name uncultured bacterium. RNAcentral describes it as "bacterial SSU rRNA". It matches the Rfam family "Bacterial small subunit ribosomal RNA", at positions 8 to 526 of the family's 1533-position model. The record is from RNAcentral.